UACGUAGGGCGCAAGCGUUGUCCGGAAUUAUUGGGCGUAAAGAGCUCGUAGGUGGCUUGUCACGUCGGGUGGGAAAGCUUGGGGCUUAACUCCAGGUCUGCAUUCGAUACGGGCUGGCUAGAGGUAGGUAGGGGAGAACGGAAUUCCUGGUGUAGCGGUGAAAUGCGCAGAUAUCAGGAGGAACACCGGUGGCGAAGGCGGUUCUCUGGGCCUUACCUGACGCUGAGGAGCGAAAGCGUGGGGAGCGAACAGG
RNAcentral lists this ribosomal RNA (253 nucleotides) under uncultured bacterium. RNAcentral's name for it is "partial 16S ribosomal RNA". It matches the Rfam family "Bacterial small subunit ribosomal RNA", at positions 524 to 776 of the family's 1533-position model. The record is from RNAcentral.